GCACGGCUGGUUGGCUACGUACGGAAGGGAUAACCGCUGAAAGCAUCUAAGCGGGAAGCCUGUUUUAAGAUGAGGUUUCUUUUGAGGUUCCCCACAGACUAUGGGGUUGAUAGGCCAGAUCUAGAAGACGGGCAACCGUUGAAGGUGACUGGUACUAAUACACCAACAAAAAACACAAA
RNAcentral lists this ribosomal RNA (179 nucleotides) under Corynebacterium sanguinis. RNAcentral describes it as "partial 23S ribosomal RNA". It matches the Rfam family "Bacterial large subunit ribosomal RNA", at positions 2735 to 2925 of the family's 2925-position model. Lineage: Bacteria; Bacillati; Actinomycetota; Actinomycetes; Mycobacteriales; Corynebacteriaceae. The record is from RNAcentral.